Molecule: long non-coding RNA, 4107 nt
Filed under: Sorghum bicolor (sorghum)
Lineage: Eukaryota; Viridiplantae; Streptophyta; Magnoliopsida; Poales; Poaceae
Description: long non-coding RNA (SBIC_LNC003080)
Source: RNAcentral
UACCUUUGGGACAUGCUCAAUUUGUUAAAUACUAAUCACACUACUUCAUCUCCACUUGAGUAGAUCUCUAUAGAUGCUCUCAUGCUACCUUUAUUUGCUUUAGUAUAUGUCUAGGUUUGGAGUAGUUUCAUUCAUCUCUUAAUUAAGCAUGGUGCUUAGUUUAGGAAUGAUGAUCUUACUUCCAAGGGAUUUUAAAUUAAGCAUGGUGCUUAGGUUGAAAUGCCCUCCUAAAUCAAAUUAGACCUGGUGUCUAGGUUGAUUUUUGAGCCGAUAGUAUGCUAUAGUAGAUAUUGGAUAUUUUGUUGGACUAACCCCUACAGGAAAACUUUCAAUAUCAACCUGGGAAGUCCUAAGAAAAACUCACAUUGGAUACAAAGAGAGAGACAUAUGAAGUUUAACAAUUUAAACAAGGAAGACAUAACUCAUAAGAGAUGAUCCAUGGAGGGUGCCACAAACACGUUACACAACCGCUAAGAAUGGAAAGCUUCCACAAGGUGAUACUGUACCAUAACUCUUCAAGUAAGGUAACAUCUUAAGGUACUUGACUAUCACUUUUAUAAGCUUCUCCUUGGAUCUGGCGUUUACAUGAAUAAAAGUGACAAACAUGUAUGAUUUACAACUCUAGAUUAACCAACCCAAUCGAUUCAAUAUGUUUAGUCCUUCCACCUUUGUGAUCCCACACUCCUAAUUAUAUGAGCUAAAAUGUUGCACACUCAAUCUUUGAAAGAUAUAUAUAAAAAACAACAUAAGUAUAGAUAGAUUAUCUUUCCAUUAGGUUGAGCAAUCUGAUCUGACAAAUGUUUUAAAUGUUACACUCAUGAUCUUAUUAUCCAUCAUCUUUGUCUUGCUCACUAUGCUUAAGGUUAGAGAAGAACAAAUACACUUUUGGUUUUGUUGGUCCUUUCCACCAACAGGGCCCAUGCACUUGAUCUCUGCCUUGUCUCUAUGAGCAGGUACACUCCGAGCAAAAUAUGGAGGAGUUUUACAACUCCCAGACUCCACCAAGUGAAGGACCUGGAUCUACGAGCACAAACAUAUUGAGCAGGAUGCUGCCAACGCCGCACUUCGAACUGCUGGGCAAACGAAGAACAUGGGUGACACCGUAUCAAGAGGUGCAGAUGUCAAGGUCCACACCUGAAUCAAAUGACGCACCUAAAGAAUGAACACGGUGAGAAGUUUUGUUCAGAAGACUUAAAACAUUGAACCCUCGCCGAAAGGUAAAAUCGGUAGUUAUCCAUAUUUAUCCUUUCUACAUUCCCUUUUCCUUUAAAUUAUUUACUUUCUUGUUAGUUGAUCAUGCUAUCUUGAAAAGAAAAUAAAACUGUUAAAAAAAGGUAAGCCCCAUGUGAGUAUGCUCAUGGCAUAAAACCCAUAAGUACAUUCACUAUGGUGGCGUAAAAAUAAAAUAAAUAUAUUCCUAUCCUAUAAAAAUGAAAAUAUAAAAAUAAAUUUAUGAUCCUACCAAAGAGAGUAAUAUUUAUUAGAGAAAGCUCAACAUGAUAACGGCUAAGAGAUUUUAUGCUAACACUUAACCAGUUCCACAAAGCUUUGUUGUCAAUUUAAGCUCCACAGAAUUCAAGGAUCAAAGAAGACUAGCAGACAGAGGACAUCCUAAUCGUUGUUAGGGUGCUGCCAACAUUCAAAUACACCUCCGCCACCUGCUAAUUACAUCAGAAGAAAUUACGUCAAAAUCCAACUUGGGGGAGAGCACCCUCAUUUAUCCAGCUAAGUGUUCUACUCACGUUUAUACUUUACUCAAAUAAUAAAAAGAUGCAUAAUCAUAAAAACCCAAUUAAAGAUUUUGUGUUUAUAUAUAUAUCUUUGCUUAGUUUGCUAAAUAAAUAAAUAAAUAAAGUUUGCUAUGAACCCUCAUGAUAAGCUCUCACAUGGAAAGAAGAAUAGUUGCUCUGCCAUGACUAGUACUCAAAAUUGAAAUCUCUCUCAAGUUUAGGCAUCACUGUUAUUAAUUAAGAUUUGCUCUAAACCUGAACUUUUGGAAAGAGUACUUGAUCUAAAUUCUAAGUCGUUAACUGAUACGAUAUAGGAAGGUUGAGCUGUUGUUUAUCUGUUCCUAGAGAUAAUAGAAUUCUGGAGAAUUUUAUCUUUGAAAAUCUUUAAAAUGUUGCAUGAUGAGUUCCUAUAUGAUGAGAGUUUAAAAUCGAACCACAGCCAUAUAUACAUACUUAUUAGACUAUGAAACAUACAUUUACUUUUUACUGAGUGUGGUCAAGUUGUGUAGACCCUUAGGAGCUUGUCAUGCGGUUAAAAUCAAGAUUCACUUGCACGUUCACUCAUACAUGCUGCUUCUACUUCGGAAGUACGCAUCCACAUACAUCCACUCAUUUCCAUAUCCAGAUUCACCCAAAAUUAUUCUACUCCUAUCUAGGAGAGAAUAGCCAAAAACAUUAUCCUAUCCCUAUUAUUCCCCGUGAAAUAAAUGCUCGAGAUAUUUUGGUUACUACCACUUGCUACAUUAUUCUAGGAGGGUGAGUGCUCUGAAAAAAAGUGAGUGAAUACGAGGAAAUAAAAAGGGGCAAGUGCCCAAAACCUUGAAAAAAAAGAAGAAGAAAAAGUGAGACGAGAGGUAAAAAUGGACAAGUGUCCGACAGUAGAAUUAGAGGUACAAGAUACCCACCUAAGAGAAAAGAAAAAAAAUACAAUAUAGAGCAUCUCAUUCCCCUCAAAAGCCUCAAAUGCAAGGAAGGUAUGUACCCCCUCAAAAGAGCAAAAGUAGAAUUAGACUUUCACCAUUAUUUUCACCAUUAUCACCAUUCAUUCGCCACACAUGCACAUCUUGAUUUUACUUAUUGACUUGUUCUUCUGGAUCCAUGGUUUGACUUUGCAAUAAAUAUCUUGUAAGUAUGUAUUAGCUGUCUCCCACCUAUGAGCUCCAGAUAUCAAAACCUUAUUAGAGUAGGGUGAGAGAGAAGCCAAUGCCACUAUGCCUCAUACCAAAAAUACCACAUACUUUGAGAGAAGGCAUACACCAUUACUGCCUUGGUAAGGAUCCAGAAAUACCACAAAAGAGAGACUAGAGAGAGUCAUAUAAGGAAUCUCUAAGUUUUAUUUGAAAAUCUGCAAAAACUCCAGAGCUAUAGUUAAUCGAAGAACAAGAGACAUGGUGCUUGACUAGACCGUUCUAUCUUUUAACUGCUCAAGACACAAGUGAUGGUUGCAAGCCCCAUGGUGGAAGGUAAAAUGAGUAAGUUUAAAUCUUAAUAGUUUACCCUAACCCAGAGAUGAGAUCUUGUUUGAACGCAUGAGUACCUUUAAGGCAUAAAACCACUGCAUAAAGCCACGAGAAUGAACGGGAGACCGAGCGGGCCCGAGGGCUGGGCGCUCGCCCUCCCCCCUUGGGCGCUCGCCCUGCCCUGGUGACCAAUCUGGGCAGGUCUCGCGGAUCGUGCUCCACCAUCUCUAGUCUUCCAAUGGACCAUAUUAAUUUGGAGGGGCCAUAUAAGCAGGCCCCCUGGCCCCUGGAGGCAUACCUAUUCUAUAGAAUCAAAGCUAGGGUUUCAAUUAUUCAUCCAAGUAGAGAGGGUCCCUCUAGUUCAUCUAGUUCUAGUCCUAGUUCAUCUAGUUCUAGUUCUAGUUAGUUCUAGUUGUAAUCUAGAAAAUAGGGAGAGAGAAGAGGACAGCGGAGGAGGAGCCGGAUCAGUCGGAUCUUCCUCAACAUUCUACUUUUGCAGCAACUGGUUCGUUCUUCAUCUUUCUCCAAGUUCUUCAAUUCAUGAUUCCUGAGUUCUUUAAUUACUUUUAUUUACAUUCAAGUUAUUUAUUGGAUUUCCGCUUGCAUCAAGUGCUCUAGUCUUUGAAAUGCUAGAGUAGUAACUAAUAGAUUAGACAUGGUGUUUAGUCUUGCAAUUACCUGGAAUUGCACCCAAUCCGGCGGAUUGUUAUGGUAUCCCUAGGGUAGUGACAGCCCUAGCGGUCGACGUAUUCCACCUCGUUUGGAUCGGUGUUUGUAGGACCGUAGUCAGAGCUUCCUAGCCCCCUUCUCAUCUCUUUCUGUGGUUAGUGUUCUGAUGUCCCGAAAUAAAUAAUCUUUGAAGUAGUUAUUUAUUCUUAGAUCAAUUAGUGAACUCUCAGGAAACUUCAUCUCUUCCC